GAUGAACGCUAGCGGCAGGCUUAAUACAUGCAAGUUGAGGGGCAGCAUGAUAUACGCGAGUAUAUUGAUGGCGACCGGCGGACGGGUGAGUAAUAGGUAGGAGACCUACCUCAUACAGGGGGAUAGCAUAGAGAAAUCUGUGGUAAUACCCCAUGAGGUUAUAUGAAUAGAGGCAUAUAAUCAAAGCAUAAGCGAUUAUGCGGUAUGAGAGGGGCCUACUGACCAUUAGCUAGUUGGUGAGGUAAGGGCUCACCAAGGCGAAGAUGGUUAGGGGUUUUGAGAGAGAGACCCCCCACAUUGGAACUGAGAGACGGUCCAGACUCCUACGGGAGGCAGCAGUAGGGAAUAUUGGGCAAUGGGCGAAAGCCUGACCCAGCCAUGCCGCGUGAAGGAAGACGGCCUUAUGGGUUGUAAACUUCUUUACUAUGCGACUAACUAGAUUUACGAGAUAAUUCUAUAGAAUGUAGCAUAGCAAAAGCACCGG
This 484-nucleotide ribosomal RNA is filed under the name uncultured bacterium. RNAcentral's name for it is "bacterial SSU rRNA". It matches the Rfam family "Bacterial small subunit ribosomal RNA", at positions 28 to 496 of the family's 1533-position model. The record is from RNAcentral.